GUGGGGAAUAUUGCGCAAUGGGCGAAAGCCUGACGCAGCGACGCCGCGUGAGGGAUGAAGGUUUUCGGAUCGUAAACCUCUGUCAGAAGGGAAGAAACUACAUUGUGCUAAUCAGCAGUGUACUGACGGUACCUUCAAAGGAAGCACCGGCUAACUCCGUGCCAGCAGCCGCGGUAAUACGGAGGGUGCAAGCGUUAAUCGGAAUUACUGGGCGUAAAGCGCACGUAGGCUGUAGUGUAAGUCAGGGGUGAAAUCCCACGGCUCAACCGUGGAACUGCCUUUGAUACUGCACAACUUGAAUCCGGGAGAGGGUGGCGGAAUUCCAGGUGUAGGAGUGAAAUCCGUAGAUAUCUGGAGGAACAUCAGUGGCGAAGGCGGCUUACUGGACUGUAACUGACGUUGAGGCUCGAAAGCGUGGGGAGCAAACAGGAUUAGAUACCCGGGUAGUCC
Molecule: ribosomal RNA, 450 nt
Filed under: uncultured bacterium
Lineage: Bacteria
Description: partial 16S ribosomal RNA
Rfam family: Bacterial small subunit ribosomal RNA
Source: RNAcentral